UACGGGGGGAGCAAGCGUUGUUCGGAUUUACUGGGCGUAAAGGGCGCGUAGGCGGUCAGCACAAGUCAGUUGUGAAAUCUCCGAGCUUAACUCGGAACGGUCAACUGAUACUGUGCGACUAGAGUGCGGAAGGGGCAACUGGAAUUCUUGGUGUAGCGGUGAAAUGCGUAGAUAUCAAGAGGAACACCUGCGGCGAAGGCGGGUUGCUGGGCCGACACUGACGCUGAGGCGCGAAAGCCAGGGGAGCGAACGGG
Molecule: ribosomal RNA, 254 nt
Filed under: uncultured bacterium
Lineage: Bacteria
Description: partial 16S ribosomal RNA
Rfam family: Bacterial small subunit ribosomal RNA
Source: RNAcentral